CGCGUAGGCGGUCUGAUAAGUUGGAUGUGAAAGCCCGGGGCUCAACCCCGGAAGUGCAUCUGAAACUAUCGGACUUGAGUAUGGGAGAGGGAAGUGGAAUUCCUGGUGUAGCGGUGAAAUGCGUAGAUAUCAGGAGGAACACCGGUGGCGAAGGCGACUUCCUGGACCAAUACUGACGCUGAGGCGCGAAGGCGUGGGGAGCAAACA
Molecule: ribosomal RNA, 207 nt
Filed under: uncultured bacterium
Lineage: Bacteria
Description: partial 16S ribosomal RNA
Rfam family: Bacterial small subunit ribosomal RNA
Source: RNAcentral